CCUACGGGAGACAGCAGUGAGGAAUAUUGGUCAAUGGCCGGAAGGCUGAACCAGCCAUGCCGCGUGAAGGUCAGUGCCCUAUGGGCGUUAAACUUCUUUUGUGCGGGAGCAAUAAUGGUCACGUGUGGCCAGACGAGAGUACCGUACGAAUAAGCAUCGGCUAACUCUGGGCCAGCAGCAGCGGUAAUACGGGGGAUGCAAGCGUUAUCCGGAUUUAUUGGGUUUAAAGGGUUCGUAAGCUGGGAGGUAAGUCAGCGGUGAAAUGCCCCCGCUCAACGGGGUGAAGUGCCAUUGAUACUGCCUUGCUGGAAUGCGGAUGCCGUGGGAGGAAUGUGUGGUGUAGCGGUGAAAUGCAUAGAUAUCACACAGAACACCGAUUGCGAAGGCAUCUCACGAAUCCGCGAUUGUCGCUGAUGCACGAAAGCGUGGGUAUCAAACAGGAUUAGAUACCCUGGUAGUC
This 460-nucleotide ribosomal RNA is filed under the name uncultured bacterium. Its description in RNAcentral is "partial 16S ribosomal RNA". It matches the Rfam family "Bacterial small subunit ribosomal RNA", at positions 338 to 795 of the family's 1533-position model. The record is from RNAcentral.